This 307-nucleotide ribosomal RNA is filed under the name Vinciguerria sp. JAL-2003. Its description in RNAcentral is "partial 12S ribosomal RNA". It matches the Rfam family "Bacterial small subunit ribosomal RNA", at positions 870 to 1343 of the family's 1533-position model. Lineage: Eukaryota; Metazoa; Chordata; Actinopteri; Stomiiformes; Phosichthyidae. The record is from RNAcentral.
CGCCAGGGUACUACGAGCACAGCUUAAAACCCAAAGGACUUGGCGGUACUUCAAACCCACCUAGAGGAGCCUGUUCUAAAACCGAUAAUCCCCGUUUAACCUCACCCCUUCUAGUCAAGCCCGCUUAUAUACCGCCGUCGUCAGCCUACCCUGUAAAGGAACCCUAGUAAGCAAAAAAGACAAAACUCAAAAACGUCAGGUCGAGGUGUAGCGUAUGAAGAGGGAAGAAAUGGGCUACAUUUCCUGAAUAAGGAUACAACGGACAAUAUAAUGAAAUUUUUAUUUGAAGGUGGAUUUAGCAGUAAGA